UAAAAAAAAAAAAAAAAAAAGGUUGGAAUGAGAGAGGAAUCCUUUAUUAAAGGGUUAAUUUUAUAAGGAUUCCUGCAAACAUAGUGAAUAACAAAUAUAUCCCUAUAAAGUUUAAUUUUUAUAUAUUGUUUCAGCAAAAGUUUUAAUAUUUUUAAAUAUGUUCUGCUGAUUUAUUAUCGUUAAAGAACCGCCAGAAAACUGUUUAUAUUUUCAAUUUUAUCAUUACAAAUAUGUUCCUUAAAAAGUCAUAACAAUAUAAUAUAAGAGAGGUAAAAAUGUCAAAAAGUAACUAAGGUUAAGUAUUUAAUCUAUAGUUAACUAAAUUUUUCUAACAGAUUCUAACGGCAGAGACAUAUUUGAAAACAUCAAAAUUUUUACAGAGAUAACAUAUGAAAGUUGAACUUUGUAGAGAUAUAUUUGCAAUUUACUAUAUUUACAGGAACCUGUAUAAAAUUAACCUUAAAUUUAUUAAAUAUGAGAAACUAUACAUGCUUUAUUAGAAAAUUCU
This 508-nucleotide long non-coding RNA is filed under the name Ananas comosus (pineapple). RNAcentral describes it as "long non-coding RNA (ACOM_LNC008504)". Lineage: Eukaryota; Viridiplantae; Streptophyta; Magnoliopsida; Poales; Bromeliaceae. The record is from RNAcentral.